RNAcentral lists this long non-coding RNA (16506 nucleotides) under Homo sapiens (human). Its description in RNAcentral is "non-protein coding LINC02204:23". The record is from RNAcentral. Lineage: Eukaryota; Metazoa; Chordata; Mammalia; Primates; Hominidae.
AAUACUCAUCUUGCCUGUGACAUGUAGAGAGCCAGUAGGAGAGAUAAAGGGAGGUGGGAGAGAGAGAGAUGGCCAUCUUCAAUGCUAUCAUUUGAGUUUCUGGAUACAGCUAUCCUGAAGGUAGGUAGAUUACUUCUACAAGCGAAUAGAAAUAAUCUCUAUUCUCUUUCUUUCUUUGUUUCUUUCUUUCUUUGUUUCUUUCUUUCUCUUUUCUUUCUUUUUCUUUCUUUCUUUCUUCUUUUUCUUUCUUUCUUUCCUUCUUUCUCUCUCCCCUUCCUUCUUUCCUCCCUCCCUCCCUCCUUCUCUCUCUCUCUCUUUCUUUCUCUCUCUUUUCUUUCUUUCUCUUUCCCUCCCCACUCCCUUCCUUCCUUCCUUCAUUUGUUCGUUCGUUUGUUCCUUCCUUCCUUCCUUUCUUUUCCUAUAACUACUUUAGAUUUUAUUCCUGCCACUUGUAACUGAAAGAGAGCCAAGUAAUAUGUGUCUCACUCAAUUUUGCAUCUCUAGCACACCCAGCACACAGGAGCAUGCAUGUUCAAUGAAUGUUUGAGUGUCUUUAGAAAGAAAUAAAGUUGCCAGGCACGGUGGCUCAUGCCUGUAAUUCCAGCACUUUGGGAGGCCAAGGCAGGUGGAUCACCUGAGGUCAGGAGUUCGAGACCAGCCUGACUAACAUGGAGAAACCCCGUCUCUUCUAAAAAUACAAAAUUAGCCAGGCAUGGUGGUGCAUGCCUGUAAUCCUAGCUACUCAGGAGGCUGAGGCAGGAGAAUCGCUUGAACCCGGGAGAUGGAGGUUGCGGUGAGCCGAGAUAGUGCCAUUUCACUCCAGCCUGGGCAACAAGAGUGAAACUCAGUCACAAAAAAAAAAAAAAAAGAAAAAGAAAAGAAAAGAAAAAAAUAAAGUUGGGGUGAAUGAAGAAAGUGCGUUGUUGGGCAUUUAUCAGCUCUCUGUGUCGGGCACUUUAUAUAAAUUAUUUCAGUCAUUAUAGCACUGCAGUAUUAGGACUACGAUCUCCACUUGAAGUUUACAUAAAAUAAGGAAGAAAGAGCUCCCGGUGAAAGUCCAGACCUUCAGAUGUGGGAUGGAGCCUUUGAGUCAGUCUCUCUCUGACACCUCAGAAGCUGGUCCAUCGGAUGUCUGCUCCUCACAGUGGCCUUUGUGUGCUGGCCCCUGGCCUUCUGCGGGAGCCCAGACCAGAGUUGUGGGGCUCUCUGUACCACAUCCAUGCUUCCCCUUGGAUGUCAGGAGGAGGUCUCUUACCAGGGGCUGAACACUGCAAACAUAGAAGUGAGUUCUCAGGUCCCCGACUUCCCCUCAUCCACUUCUCUCCAUGAUCCUGUGUCCUUUCUCAUUGCUUGACCUAGUCCACACCAGCUCCACCAAAUUCACAUCCCAAAUUUCUGUUGCUCAGUGGAUCCAAGAUCAGGCCAAAGUGAAAUUCGUUGGGUGCAGCUGUGGGUCCCUGGAGUCCAGAAGUUUCAUGGUGUGAGAGGGAGGCCACUGUUGGUAGAACAGGAUGGGGGUCCUGAAGUUGUAUCUGAGCUCUGUAUUUGCAUUUUCACCACAACUUAAAUGACCUCAAAUGACAGGGUAGGAAAGACCUCAAAAAUCAUCUAAAGAAGCACAACCUGGAGUGCUUCCUGACAUUCCCUGACCCCGGCUCCCAAACUUGAGAGAGACAGUGCUGAUCACUCAAAGCACUUCUUCCUGCUGAGCUCAGAUACACUUUCAGAUCUUUCCCACGCAGCGCUGUGGGCUGCCCCAUCAGUCACUGGGAGGUGGCUCACAAAAAAAAGUACUUGUCCUCAGACCUGGUUCAAGACCCUCAUUUUUUGCUAUUGUGAAAAUAGAGAUCCAGAAGGGUGAAAGGACUUGUCCAAGGUCGUGCAGCCCAGCUGGAACUUGAAAACAUACCUUUUGAUUCUCUUAAGUCUACUGUUCUUUCUUCUGAAUGUGCUGACUUAGUACCAUUAGUAUAUGGUAAUAUGCCAACCCAAUUCAAACUCUACAUAUGCUUCACUGGAAAAUCAAUCAAGCAAAUUGAUAGAGCUCCGUGUUGUGGAAAGAACACUGAGCUGCGAUUUUAUCUCUGGUCUGGCAAUAAACCAGCUGUGUGACCUUGGGUCAGUCAAUUCACUUCUCUGAGUCUCAGUUUCCUCAUCUGUCUAAUUGUGGGGGCAGGGUGAUUUUUAUGAUCUGUAAGGUACCUUUAAAUAUUAAUAAUCUGUGAUUUCAUUUGCCCAGAAUUAUGCCAGACAUUUUUCUAGCUAUAAAUAGACAGAAGAGAAGACACAACCAUACAAUACAAGAAGCAACAAAACAUUAAUAUAAUUAAUAUAACUUUUAAUUUAUAUAAUUAAGGGCCAGGAGGUGUGGAACUUACUGAGGCCCUCUGGGAGUUAAGAGGAGGGAGUUCUGAGUGGUAGGGAGUUGUCUUUGUGGAAAGGAGAAUUCAGCCUGGCCCUAGAGGAUGGGUGGUAGAUAGGGGACAAUGGCACUGCAGGCAACAGGAGGAAAAUAAAGUGGCAGCAAGGUGAGAUACGCAGUGUGUGUUUAGGAACAGAACAGCCUGACUGGAGAGGAGGUGGAGGAAGUCUUAGGAAUGCUUUAGGGAGUCAGAGGUGAGCAUGGAGCCCAGUGUCACAUGGAAUGUGGAGGAGAGGUCCUAUUCUCUACAGAGACCUAUAGGGGAAUCUUUUGUUUUGUUGAAUAAAAGGUGAAAAUGAUAGAGAUUCAACUCAAACUGGCUUAACCAAAACAGUGGAUUUGUUAACUCACACAAUCAAAAACCCCAGGUUAGACUUCAGCUGUAAUUGGACCCAGGGGCUCAAAAAAUCUCACUGGGAAUGUGCCCUUCUCCGUUUGUACUUUCUUCUGUGUUGGCCUCAUUCCCAACAGCCAUUUCCAACUGGUGGCAAGAUGGCGCCCAGCAGCUCCCAACUUACAUUUUACCACUUAAGACUGGUGGAAAGAGAGCUCCUUAUUCUGCCAGUUUUGUGAAAGUCCUGGGGUGGAUGCUCAUUGACCCAGAUGUGAUCUCGUUCCCAUCUCUGAACCAAUCACCAAGGCCACGGGCGGGAUGCAAGGCCCCGAUGGACCAGGCCUGAGGCACAUGCUCAUCCCUGGAGCCGGAGAGUGGGAUCUUCCCCAGAGGAACUGGGGAAACUGAAAAUGGGAUGGGAUGAUGAUUCCUAGAGAAAAAUCAUAGGGCCACUAUCAAAAGUAGGAGUGGAGGCAUCCCGGACAGGCAAACUCAGCAGAUGUCCAGCACCAAGAGUAUUUCAUCAGGCUUCAUGUGGAAGAAACUAGGCUGUGUCUUUAAGACAGAGCCAGACUAAGCAGUAAUUCUGCAUAGGGGAACUCAGUUACUCAACUCUAAAACCUGCUGGGCAAGGGUUCUGAGAGGCCGCAGUGAGGUGGAUGGGACGACAGCCUCGGGGCAGGUCUCAUCUUUCUUACAUUAAUACUUCUUGGAGAGACUCAGCAGCAGGGCAGGAAUUUGUUAAAUUACAUAAACAUUAUUGUGACCCGUAAAAUUCAAUGAAUCUCGGCCUGUUUACCCUCGGCUGGCUUUAAUGUUUGCACAGUGUAAUUUAAUGUGUCAAUUUGCUCUCAAAUAAAAAACAUCUGGCCCUCUGACAUGCCAAAGAAACCGGAGAGCUGAUGUUCAAAAUCAGCUAAAAGUCCCAAUCAGGGAUGAUGUUUUGAGGAAGAAAAAAAAAGGCAAGAGGCUCAGAAAAGGAAGCCAAGAGUGUUAGGAUCCAUUCCUGGCGGAGUGACAACCCUCUGUUUGUGAGUCUGUAAGAUCAGUAAAUUUUAUCCUAAUUAGAAUUAAGAAAAGCCGAGAAGAGCACAUACCAUCUUUAACUGGCACCCAUUGUGCAAUUAAAUUUCCUGUGGCUGUCCCUGCCAAUAUUGACAUUCAUGCUAUUGGAUUUUUAACAAUCUUAUUAUUUUGUAAUUGAGAGGAGCAAGAAGAAAAUUAUGCUUUUCUGUAUAGAUGAUCUUCCCAGCUAAAGUACCGCUUCCUACAGCAGUUGGCCUGCCUAAGCUCUUUCCCUCCCUGGGGGUUGGUGGUGUUUGGGGAAGAGAAGGGGAGGGGGGACUGGCUGAGUGUGUGGUUUUCCAGUAAGAUCAUCUAUGCGGCCUGUCUUGCUUUGGUCUCCAGUAAAUAAUGGUACUGCUCACUCCUGCAGACAGAGGCAGGGCUUGGCAGGCAGGUCUGAGUUGGAGGCACUGACCUACAUAGAGCAGGGGACAGGGGAAACAGGUGGGGCAUUGAAGGCCUUUCAGGGACACCCCUACCUGCUGCUGGUGGCUGCUCAUUGAUUCUGACUGCUGGGGCCUCCCCAGGAGCUGGGCAGGCCGAGGUGGCCCGAGGGACACUUUAUCCAUCUCCCUCUCCGGCAGCUCUCUUUCUUAGCACCCAAGGCUGGGCCAGGCUGAAGGAACCAGGGAGGGAUGGUUUCCACUCCCCAGUUUCUCACCCCAGUAAAUGCUUGAGACAUCCUGAUGAAAAAGAGUUCGGCCUGGAGCCCGGGCAGCCACCCUGCUGGAAGGAGCGGAGCCUGCUUUCCUGGCUGUGGAAUGACGGGGUCAAAGCGAGUUCAGGCUUUGCUUUAAUUGAGUAGAAGAUAGUUCUUCCUUAAGGGAGCCCUGAAACAGUGCUUCGGCAGAGCAGAAUGACUUCCCAUAUUGUCAGAAGGGAUUAGCCUGGCUGGUUUGUAAAUAAAGAGUGAUCCUUCUUUCCCCUCUAGGACAAACAGAUCAUAUUUUCUUCAGAUCACCAGGGCCGGGGCUCCCUCUAAUCAAGUCCUUGACAUUUCAGUAAGACUCAAGGAGUUACAUGUUUUCCAUGAUUGUGCCUUUGGUAAUUACCCAUUUUCCUAAACGAUUGCUAUUUUCCAAAUUCAAAACGUUUUGAGGAAGUGGGAAAAUGAAAUGUCUCUCCAAUGACGUGAAGAUGAAGGGGAGGGACAGAGGUGGAGGUGCGGAAAGGAGCAGGUCUCUUGAGGCUGGGACAACAUCAUCCUAAUAAGCACCACGGAACAGAUCCCUGGACCACUGAGGUGCUUUCUAAUCUAUUCAUUUUUCCAUUCCUUUGGGAAACAAUAGUUUCUGAAGCCCUUGCCAGGUGCCAGACGUCAUGCUGGCCACCGAGGGCAGAGUAAGACCUGUUUCUGCCCACUCCAAGGAGCUCCAGUCUAAUGGGAAAGACCAGCAUGUAGGCUAAUUACAACAACAAAACGUCUUGAAAAAUAAACGUCAUGGAAUCCCCAAGUAAACAGCAAAACAAAACAACAAGAGAAAAAUGAAACGAAACCAAACCAAAAACCAAAAGCUUUGUCUGAGUAGAACAAGGAAGUCUUCACAGAGGAGGUGAUGCGGUGUCUCCCAGGAUGAGUAGGAGUUGGCCACCCUAGCAAAACGGUAACAGAAAUAGCUAACCCAAAAUGUCUGGUGCUAUUCUAAGGGCCCUACACAUACGCAUUCAUAGAAUCCUUACAAUCUUAUGAGGCAGAUGCUUUUUUCUUUAGCUAUCCUCCUGCCUUGGCCUCCCAAAGUGCAGGGACUAUAGGCAUGAGCCACUGCACCCAGCCCAGAUGCUAUUUUUACCCCAAUUUUCAGAUGAGGAAGCUGAAGUGCAAAGACAAGAGAAGCUUUCUGGACCAGGAAAUGGCAUGUGGGAAAGGACACACUCCUGGGAAAGUAGGUUGUGUUGAUGGACAAUGGGGAGGGGCUCCUUUGAAAGGUGUGGGGAAGUAACCUGCUCAGAUUGUUUUUAGGAGAAUGACAGCACAGUGGUGGAGGAGCCAGACUGAGAAGGAACAAAAGGCCAGCAACAAAAAUAAGGCUCCCUUCCAACUUCCAAUCACCACGUGCUCCUGUCAUCUCCCUACCCCACCCUGCAUCAGCUCCCAGGAAGGGAGCUGAAACUCAGGCCUGCUUCUGUGGGCACCAAAACCUGACUUAGUACGUGAUCCUCCCUUCCAUCCUCAUCCCCAUAGAUGGGCAUGGAGAAUUAGUCCGCAGAUCAAAGCCAAAGGGUGUUGUCUCAUGGCACUGAGGUGGGGGUAACCCUUAUGACUCCCAUAGGAAGCCCUAUGGAAGGGGACAAAAGCCCCCAAGGCUGAACCUACCCAGGAGAGCCAGGGCUCUGCUGUGACAUACUGUGGCCACACAGAGGAAGAGUCCUUGCCUUUCUGGGUUGGCUUCUGCUUUCUUGAAUGAUCUUCAUUUGCAUCCUUUCCUCUUGAAUAAUCCUCCCUUCACCAAAUCUAUCUAUCUACCUCCUGCAGCUUGUGUCCACUCCAAACACAGUUGACAAGAAGUCUUGGCAACACAGCCUAAAGAAACACUAAGCAAAUUGUUCCUUGUCGUCCUGACCUUUGUAAGCCAAGAGCUCUACUUUAUAACUUGGGAACGCACAAAUAUUUACAGUUGUAGGGAAGGGAGCCAAUGGCUGCUGGAGGGUCCUAGAAUUGGAAGGGAGCUGAGAGCUUGUCUAGCCCAGCCUCAUAUUCACUAUAGGAAUGCCCUCCACAGAGCCCUUGGCAGUGGUCACCCAGCCUCCCCUUCCUGGUCCCUGUGAUGGGAAGGAAGGUCAUCUUCCUCUGAGAAAGUGCUUUCUGUUGAUCUUAUCGUUGGAAAGUUUUUCUGACAUUGAGCCAGAACUGCCUCCCAGUAACUUUGCCCUUGGUUUUGGAUGGGUCUCUAGGGCCUCACAGCUUGGGUAUCUUCUUUCCCACGACAGCACGUUAAAGGCUAGAACUCAGCCUCCCUGUCUGCCUUCCGUUGUCUGUUCUUCCUCAGUUCCUUUGUUCUUUUCUUGGGGGCCUUCAUUCAUUGGUCCCUCAUCACUGGGGUCACCUUUCCUUGCCAUGUCCAACACAUCCUAGUUGGUCAAUGUCUGUCUUAACAUACGAUACCCCCAAAUUCAUCACAGCACUACAGUUGAAUUGCUUUCUAAGAUCUGAGCCCUGUGCCAUUAAUUCCUCAUCUCUAAAACUCAGCUUAGCUAUCCAGGCCAUGUAAGCCAGAGAAGAGGGAAGGAAUGAAGUCUUCUUGAACCCCUGCAAUGCUAGCCAAGUUCUUUCUAAACACUCAGGGCUCAGAACUGCCCCAGGAAGUAGAUACUCUCCUCUUUGUUUCACAUAUGGAGGAACCUGGUUUUCUGACAUAGAACUGAAAAUAAGGAAGUAAGCAAAACAAGUCUUUAAGGACGCUGAGCAGAGGCCAGAAAGUCACCCGGAGUCUAUUAUUUACUCUUCCUUUACAUUCAUUUCUGCCAAGAUUUUAUUUAGUAUCAGGAGAACUGAUUUUAAAUCCUGGCUCAGCCACUUUCUAGCUGUGUGACCUCAGGAAAGUUAGUGUCUAAGGUGACUAACCAAUCCCAAAUUGCCCUGGUCUGUCCUGGUUUUAAAACCGCAAAUCCCAUGUCCUAGGAGAUCACUCCAUUCUGGGCAAAUUAGCACAUGUUGGUCACCCUAUUCAGUCAAUUUUCUCUUUGUGAUAUCAGGAUAACAGUAACCCACCUCACGAGGUUGUUAUAAUUUUAACUGAGAUAAUAUAUUUGGAAGACCUGGCAAUGUGCCUGGCACAUAGCAGAUACACAAUUAAUGUUCUGUUUAAUUUGAAAGCCUAGUUAAUUAUGACAAAUUAGAAAGAAGUCAAAGACUGAGAGGUGGCCAUGAGCAGUUUAACUGGAAAACCAUUUUUAAAAACACCUAGAAACAUAAACGGAGACACAUAGUAGAGGGUCGUACCGUGAGGGUCUCAAUGUCCUCUGUACUGUGAAUAUCUCACUGGAGUUCAAUGAGCCAUGGUAAUUGUCGUCCUUGAGUGGGACUCCGCAGGACAGAGGAAUAACUAAAUCUUCUGCAUUAUACUAUGUGUGAUAAGGCAGGGUAAGGUGGGAUACAUUGUGGAGUAAGUGCCACAUGAAAUUUAAUGAAGUCUUUAGAUCUUUAAGCGUAAGUAUUCAACCCUCUAACAGGAUGGCAACCAACCAGCAUGGCAGAGGGAAGGAGGACUGAAGAGGGUCCCAGGAGAGCCUGAGUCUGCAGUCAGCUCACUGCCUAACUAUAGACAGAUUGUCCUCACAGUUCCGGUCCUGUCUCCUCAUCUGUGAAAUGGGGAAGAGAAAGUAGACAAGGUGUUGUCUAACAGAAAGGCAACAGAGUGGGGUGGUCAAGAGCACGGAUCCACCACCCACUAGCUGUGUGAGCUAGGACAAGCAAGCAAAUCCACCCUCUGCACCCUGCUCUCCUGGCCUGUAACCUCGUAGAGAUGUUGUGAAGAUUUUAUGAACUGAUGUACUUCCUGGUGCAUGUUGAGUUCUCAGUAAGGAUCAGUUCUUAAAGUUAGUAUCCCUUCUGGGUAUCGCACUCCAUGACAAAGAGUAUCAUCUCUUUCUCUCCCCUCAUCACCAAGGGUUAAUGCAACAUAAGCUUUCGCUUGAGUGUUUUGUAAGUUUCUUUUCCCUCCCCAGCCCGCCACAUCACUCAGCUGGCUCACGUUGAACUUGAGGCAGACUAAAACCUCCUGAUCUUUUUUUAUGUGAAUUGCAGUCCAGCCAGGUUGCUCUCAUCCUGUUCUUGUGCAACUGAUUUUUGGAAACUACAUUCAAGACAUUAGAUUUAUUGAUGCUACAUUUCAUCUGGUUGCUUUUGACCCAGCAUUCUUGACUGUCGAGAUCAUCUUGAACCUUAAUUCUCUCAUCCCCUCCAGCUUUGAGUCAUCUGCAAAUUUAAUGCAUAUGCUUUCCAUAUCUUCAGAUCACGGGCUUAAAAAAGCUAUUUUACAGAUAAAAAUAAAGAUAGAGAUAUAGGCCACUAGAUAGAUCAAGAGGGAUCUUGUAUGCCAGGCUGAGCAGUGGGGAUUUUAUCUUGUGGGAAGCAGGGGCUCUUGAUCCUCAAUCAGUUUUUAAGCCUUUUCUGAACAUACCCACUACAGACGCUCGUAUGUUGUCCCUGGAUCUCAGAGUGUUUUCACUGAUGACAACAAGAGUUCACCCCUCAGCCACCCUAACUGUGGCCUCUUCUAAACUACUGAACUCACCGCGAAGGUCUGAAUCCCUUCCUGUCUGUACCACAUGCAGCCCCAAGGCCCAGUCCUAUUCUCCUCCCUCUUGUUGCUUCCCAAACUGAGGCCACCCCUACUUUGGGGCCUAGCCAAAUACCUGUUAUCAAUCCAAGAAAUCAAUUCUCUCUCGUUGGUUCAGGAAGGCAUGGACCAUGAUGACUUUAUGUGCUUCCCACUCACGUUUCCAUUUUUACAGGGGACUUCAGUGUCUGAACUGGAAGGCCAGAGCUGUGGUGGAUCUGCUGGUAGCCACCUAUAGCUGUCUGGAUCUCUGCACUGCCCAGGGCACCACGGGCAUGUUAUAUCACAGCACAGUGCAACCAGCUGGUUCCUGGGCAUGACUACAAGUCGUUAUGAAAAGGCUGAGGACAAGAUGAUAGGGAAAUGUGAAAAGGAAAAUUCUAGAAGUAAUUUUCAUAUAAAUUAAUUUAAAUAACAAAAAAAACAAACAUUUAAGUUUCUCCAGGUAAUCUGGCAACUCUCUGGUACUGUGCUAACCAGGCAACCAUUGGUUAGGGAGCUUCCAAAACUCCGUGUCCACUCCAGGCCCCGCUCCAGCCAUCUGGCCAAGCACACUCAGCUUCAGGACACAAUGAGCAUAGCCAGUCCCUCUUUGAUGUCCUUGGUACCAGAACCUUCCCAUUUUACCCCACAGGACUCCCAGGAUUCCUUUCUAGGGAAGAGUUUGAUGAUGAUGAUGGUGAAGAUGGUAAAGAAGAGCAGUUACCCCUGAUUGAGUGCCUUCUGUGUGCCAGGCAUUGUGCCAGAGCCUCUAAACAAACCAUCUCUAAUCUUUUCAACCUUACGAAGCAUAUUUUUUGUGAUUCCCAUUUUAUAGAGGAGUAAACGGAGGCCCACAGAGAUUAUAGUAACUUGCCUGUGUCCACAAGAAAUAGCAGAACUGGAAUUUGAACUCUGGGUUUCUCUGAUUCCAAAGUCCACUGUAUCCACCACCCUGUUUCUGUAGCUUUCCAAAAGCUCCCACUGUUAUUUUCUCUUUUGACCCAAACAGUCUUACGGGGGUGAUAGGAAGCUGAGAUGAGCAGAACUCUGCCCGUUGCCGAGGCAAAGUGCAGUCAGUAGGCUCACAGGCUCACUGGGGUGGAACUGGACCUGGUACCAGCCUUCUGACUUGUAAUGCAAUGCAAUUUAUCCCUGUGUUGAUAUCCUGAUCGUUGGAAGGGAGCCCAAGGAUGGCUGGGUGGGGAAGCUUUUGCUUUUGGGAAGGUAGCGGUAGCAGGUGGUGUUAAAGGGAAACUGUAGUAAUUGUAUGAUGGCUAAGCAUGGAGGCUCUGGAAUUAGAAAGUACCAGGUUCCAAGGGGCUCCAGCCUCUACUACCUGUGUGAAGUUGGGUAGAUUAUAUUACCAUCGUGAGCUGCCAUUUACAAAUGGGUUAAUGAGAGCUCUUCAGUGAAAUACUGAGUUGAGAGAGAGAAUUUACACAAAGCCAUCGGCACGGUCCAGGCACAUUUCCAGUGCCUAACACACAUCGGCUCGGAUUACCAUUUCUUUUUUUUUUUUGAGGCAGAGUCCUAGUCUGUCACCCAGGCUGGAAUGCAGUGGCACGAUCUCAGCUCACUGUAACCUCCACCUCCCAGGUUCAAGCAAUUCUCCUGCCUCAGCCUCCCUAGUAGCUGGGAUUACAGGUGCCUGUCACCAUGUCCGGCUAAUUUUUGUAUUUUUAGUAAAGACAGGGUUUCACCAGGUUGUCCAGGCGGGUCUUGAACUCCUGACCUCAAGUGAUUCACCCUUCUUGGCCUCCCAAAGUGCUGGGAUUGCAGGCAUGAGCCACCGUGCCCAGCCUAUCGCUAUUUUUCUUACCUCUGUCGUUACAGCAAUCUACAUUCGUAAAUGUUUUCAUAAGUGCCCUUGACUUGCUCAUCCUACGUGGAGGCAUUAUGUCCCCAUUCUACAGACUGGGCAACUGGGCACUGAAGCUACCUGCCCAAGGUGAUCCAGGAAGGACUGAGCAGAGCUAAGCCUUGAGCUCCUGACCCCACGGUGAGCUCCCAUCCCCAGCAUGCUGCAGCUGUUCAUCUUUCCUGGGUCCAGUUUCACAUUUCCAGCAUUUCUCAAAUGUUAAUAUGUGUCUCCAUUACCGGAGAUCUUGUUCACAUGCAGGUUCUCAUUAAGGAGGGCUAGGCGGGCCUGAGGCUCUGCAUUUCUGGCAGUCCUCCGAGGGAAGUCAAAGCCGCUGGUCAUGGGGCCUCACUGUGGUUGAGGGUCUCCUUCAGCUGGUAGGGGUCCCUUGAGCAGGCUCAGAGAAACAAACGGCAAGCCCUGCGGCCCCUGGGACUGGGACCUGCAGGAGCCCUUAAAGUUAGCUUCUAAGUGUGGCCCCCAUAGGAUGAUACUAAGGAGAUAUGGGAUUUGGGAGCCACCUCCUAGCAGGGUUGCCAGGGCCGGCCCUGCCCUCUUGCUCACCAUCUCCUUCUGCUUCCUUCUGACUGCUUCCAUGGGAGCCUGACAACUACAGCAAAGCAUUCUUGAACUCCCACGCUGAGCAGGAGCUACAUGACCGGGUGAGUGUGGGCAGCCUGCAGAGAAGGAGCUGACAUUUGUCUUAAUUGGAGUUACCAUGUAAAUCCCACCUGUCUCCUCCUGGUGCCCAUGGCCUUUGAUGGGCAGGGAAGGGGGCUCUGAACAGAGAGAGGCUCAUAAUGUCCCUGGGGAUACAAGGCGUUAUUAAUGUAGGCUCUGGAAGGAGAUGUUCCCACUUGUCAGCAGGGAAAAUGAGCUGGAAUUGAGUUUAAAAAAAAAAAAGAGAGAGAGAGAAAGAAAGAAAAAGAACACAGGCAUCUAGGCAAGAAGAGUGGCAGAACUCCCCCCAGGGCAGAUACCCUUCUGCCCCUCCCAUGGGUCACCCCUGUCUUUCAAAACCAGCCUCUAACCCAGAGGUUUUCAAACUCAGCUACCAAUCGUCACCUGGGAGCUGUAACAAUUGCUGAUGUCUCUGCCCCAGCCCCAGAUAUCUUUAUUUCAUUGGCCUGGGGUGUGGCCUAUGGAAAUUGGGGUUUUUAAGCUCCCAAGUGAUUCUAUGUGCAGUGGGGUUGCAAAACUGCAGGUUGAAUCUUAGCUUCUCCAGGAAGCCACCUCUGAUUAGCUGAUGCUAAUCUAUGAGCCCAGUGGAACUGUCACCUUUUCUAAUCAGCCAGCCCUGAUGUAUCCAUACAAUUGGAGGGGGAUGGGGUGAAAUAACCCCCAUUAGUGUGAAUUGGUUGAAGAGGACACAGAAGGAUGUAGGAUGUACCUUCUCAUUUCUCUGAGCUUAACUUCCAAAUGAACAAGCAUUUGCAGCUGCUGGACAGCCACAAAAUCAAUUCACUCAGUCAUUUAACCAACAUUCAUUGAGCACCUAUUAUGGAUAAAGAGCAAUGAGAGAUUCACAGCAUAUUUGAUAUAGUCUCUGUAAACCAAAAAUAAAAUUCUAAGUCCCCUAAAUGACGGAAUGGAGCCCCCCUCUUCACCAAGGAGACCCCAAAGAAACUUGAAAAACUAAUUUUGGGAAUGACAGGAAGCAGGGAUUGGACAUACCUCAUUGUAGCCCCCUCUUUUUGGAGUUUAGAUUCAGCUGACCAGCAUUAACAUGAAAACAGAAAUCUGAAGGCUGACAAAACAGACUCUUCAUAGCAAUGAGAUACUAAAUUCCAACCUGACUCUGGUCCCAUGACAAAUAGCAGGCCUUGAAGGAGAUAAAAGUAUUUUACCCCAAAAUAUAUUUCUUUGGCAUAUUUUGAAAUGGCCCCGCAAAGCUCUCUCUUGGGGAAAUUUGCAUUCUGUAGAAAAUCUCCUUCCCUCACUAGCUCUUUCAGGAGAGACUGACACCUGAUAACAGACAUUCACCAUCUUUUCUCUCUGAAUCCUGGAGGCUUCAUCUACAUGACAAGAACCUUGGCUUCACAAUCCUGCCUUAUCUAAACUCAAGGUCUCUUUAUGCUGAAUUCAACUCUUCAGGCAAGGCCUAACUCUCUCAGCCAAUUGCCAAUCAAGAAAUCUUUGAAACCGCCUAUGACCUGGAAGCCUACACUCACCCUACUUCGAGAUAUCCCACCUUUCUGGGCCAAUCAAUAUAUACCUUAUAUGUAUUGGUUUAUUUCUUUGCCUGUAACUUCUUCCGUCUCCUUAAAAUGUAUAAAACCAAGACGUGUUCUCAGGACCUCCUGAAAAUGUAUCAUGAGCCAUGGUCCUUAACCUUGGCAAAAUAAACCUCUCGAUUGAGACCUGUCUCAGAUACUUUCUGGUUUACAAUUCUGCACUUAACUAACUAAAGCCUAAUAAGGAUAGAAUAGGCAAGACCAUAAAUAACAACAACAAUUACAAAACCUGUAGGUGAUAGGCUGUGAGUUAGGGAAAUAAAGAGAUAAUGAAAAUGUAUCUCACACCUAGGAUGUGCAAGGCCAUUUCCGAGUCAACCUAUAUAUGCUACGUCAUUUCAUGUCAGUGACAGAGUCCCAUUUUUCAGAUAAAGGAGUUGAGACUCAGAGGAGCCAGUGGCUUGCUCAUGGUCACACAGCUGGUGCAUGUUGAAGCCUGACUCCAAAGGAGGCGUGAGAGCAUGCUGCCAUGGCAAGAUGAGGAAGGGAUGAGUUCAGUUGCAGGAAUCUGGAGAAACUUCAGGAGGACUCAGGGCUCACUACAAAAACAUGCCACCACCAAGGGGCCUCUCAUAGGAGGGCCCUGUAAGAGGACAUAGCCUCAGGGAAGAAGCAUGUUCCUGGUAAGGCUGAUAGUGGAAGGACAGCUCAGACGAACAGGGAGAGGAGUUGCUGAUUCUGAAGCAGGGAGUCUGGAAGACCAGGGAAGGGUUGGCAGGGAAGGUGUAGGAGGUGGGCUUUUAGAGGGCAUAGAAGUUCAGAGCAGGCAGGGGAGAGAUAGCAGAAGGGGGCAUAUACACCUUCAGUACUGACCAAUUCACACAGCGAUGAGAAGCAUGAGAGCCUGGCCACUGUGAGAAGGGCAGGCCCUGGCUCAGCAUACUUGGCUGAAGUGAAGAGGGCAGACUGCAGUCUGCAGACACAGGCCCUGGGUGAGGGUUGGUGCACAAACCACUCAAGAGAAACUUUGGGCAGGCUGGAUGAGCUGGGCUGCAGGGCAGGGACUCUGUUUUUGACACUGAUAUCUAUCAUCAGUUGGAUGUAAUAUUCAUAGUUUCUGAAUACCCAGCAUGGGGCAGGCAUGGGCCCAGGUGGUUUCUCUCUGACCUGGAAGAGAGACAAGUUUCUGUGAAGUUGAGAGAAUGUAAAUAAUCUCUAUUAGGAUGGUGGUAGUGGUGGCAGCAGUGGUGCUGGAGGUGGUGGGAAUAGCGGUGGUGGGGUGGGGUUGGUGGUGGUGAUGGUAUUAAUGGCAGAUGGUGGUGGAGGUAAGGGUGAUGGUGGUGGUAGUGGUCAUGAUGAGGGUGGUGGGGUGGUGAUGACGAUGGUGAUGAUGAUGGUGAUGGUAGUGAUCGUGAUAGUGGUAGUAGUUAUGCUUGAAUGACUGACACCAAAAUGGCUGCUACCUCUAGCCUCUCCCGUGAUUCAUACUUUCACCUCCCCCGUUGUCAUCUCCUGUUGUAUCAUGUAGGCCUAUCAGUCUUCUACACGCCUGCACUCAAGCCGUUGACCUCCUCUCUUUUCUCUUUGCCCUUCCUUUACUUUCAUCUGUAUUCCCUGGCUUGGGAAACAGCCCCUCUAGUCAGCCAGCCAGCCAGCCAACCAUCAGAGCUGAUGCCCAAGAGUCAAGCUACAUCCUCCAACUAUUCUUAUCCCCAACAGCCAGUUAAUUACCAAGUCCUGAUGCUUUGACCUCUUACUCACUUCUUGAGACCCAUAGUCUUCUCUCUGUCUUACCUGUUCUUGCUUUAUUUGGGACCACAUUACUUCCCCCCGACUAUGGGAAUACCAUCCUGACAGAACUGUGAGAUUCGACUGGCCUUUCUCCAGACCACCCUUCAUCUCAUCAUCAGAGGCAACCUACCCACAGGCAGAUCUGGCCAUGCCAUACCGAUGUCACACCCCAUCUCUGACUUGCAAGUGCAAGGUGGUCCCUAGGCUGCCAAGCUCCAGACCCAUGAAGCUGCAGCACUCUGCUCUAGCAUGACAGAUGCACAUAUCUUUUCUUUUGCUCAUACGAGUCUCUGUCUUGAAAACUUUUCUCCUCCUCUGACUGAUGGACUCCUGUCCGAUUCUUAUGAAGCUCUUCUGCUCCCCUACCCCAGCUGGCAGCAGUGGUGUCUCUCUCUUCUGUGCACUCUAUGCAAUUUCCGGUCUUGCUUAUUUCACUCUGUUUAUUCAUCUGCCUCCUUUGCUAUGCCAUGAACUUCACCAAGAAAAGGGAAAAGGGAGGUCUUGCCCAUCUCUGAAUCUUGAAGACUUAGCACAGGUGCAUACUUGGCACUUCCUGGAUUCAAGACCAGUAAUAUUAAUCCAGAUAACUGUGUGGUACCUGAAAUUAUGCAGAGAGCUGUAUCUCCACAUCAUCUCAUUUGAUUCUCAUCACUCUCAUGGAAAGUUGCAGGGGGCAUUUGCUUUGUUUCACUGAUGGGAACACUGACAUCCAGCAACAAAGGCAAAAUGACUUGCUCAAGGUUGCCCAGGGAGGUUGUGGCUGAGUCAGUCUUUGUCUCAGAUGUCCUGACUCUGUUGUUGGAAACGUGUUGAUUUCACACCAGAAGCUCAUUUUCUUUCUCUCUGAGAUGCUCUAUGGCUGAGAAGUGACCCAUGCACAUAGGGCCUGCCCACUCUCAGCAUGAAAUACCUGUGAUUGAGGAGGGAACAGGGGCUUUGAAUUCCUAGGUAAGGACAGAUAAGGAAGACAAGCAUCUAGAAGGCACAAAGCCAUAAGGAUGGAGAGAACUAGAGAAGAGAUAAGAGUCUUAUCACAAAAUUUUGGAACCUGGAAAGCAGGUAGACAAGUGGUAACAAACUUAGCAGGAGAAAUAAGGAUUCUUGAGCUGGCAUUGGGAAAAGCUGAGAACCAACUUGAUUUACACAGCAGAACCCUUAGAAGCCUCAGGAGCUGGCAGCGUCAGGUACUUCUGGAAGUGAGUGAAGGGAUGGGCCAAAAAUAAGGAUUUGUAAGUGAAAGCAAUUCAUUCAGAGGCUUUAGAACCCCAGAUCCCUGCCUCCACUGCAUACUGCUAGGCAACCACCCAGUCCGUACCAUGGCCAAAGCCUGGAGAUAAAGUGAAGUCUCUGCUCGGAGAUGAGGGGCAUGAGGCUCAGCUGAAAACAGGACGAGUAAGAGAACGUUUUCAUAGUUAAUGCUGAGGUCCCCUAGCCAUCUUCUCUCAUAAUCUCCCAGUAGGCUGCAUCUGGUUUUAUACCCUCUAGGAAAGACACUAGAAACCUCUUUUCUGGGGGGAACGGGCCCAGGAAGGAAGAGACACGAGGGUUCAAAAUUACACUCCUGCACAUCUUUUGUCGGGAAAACUCCUGAAGAACAUAGA